UUUUUAAUUGAGAUCUUGUAUGAAUGAUUGGACAAGAGAAAUACUGUCUUUAUAUUAAAACUUGAAUUUAACUUUUAAGUGAAAAGGCUUAAAUAUACUAAAGGGACGAUAAGACCCUAUAAAACUUUACAUUUACGUUAAAUUUUAUGGAAUUUGAAGAUUAUAAUUAUUAAAUUUAAUUUUUUNGUUAUGUUGGGGAGACAAGAGCUAUAAUUAUAUANNNUAACUGCUUUUAAGUAAAACAAAAAUAAGUGNGGNNGAGAUUAAAGAUCCUUUAUUGAGAUUGUAAGAUUAAGUUACUUUAGGGAUAACAGCGUUAUUUUUUUUGAGAGUUCAUAUUGAAAAAAAAGAUUGCGACCUCGAUGUUGAAUUAAAAUAUCUUUAUAAUGCAGGUGUUAUAAAAGAAGGUCUGUUCGACCUUUAAUUUU
This 428-nucleotide ribosomal RNA is filed under the name Potamonautes sidneyi. Its description in RNAcentral is "partial large subunit ribosomal RNA". The stretch from base 307 to 428 matches the Rfam family "Bacterial large subunit ribosomal RNA", at positions 2473 to 2596 of the family's 2925-position model. Lineage: Eukaryota; Metazoa; Arthropoda; Malacostraca; Decapoda; Potamonautidae. The record is from RNAcentral.